RNAcentral lists this long non-coding RNA (670 nucleotides) under Homo sapiens (human). RNAcentral's name for it is "HSALNT0314003". Lineage: Eukaryota; Metazoa; Chordata; Mammalia; Primates; Hominidae. The record is from RNAcentral.
ACAGCUUCACAGGCAGAACACAACACACAGAUGCAAGGUCUCCUGAUGGCAGAAAACCUUAUAACCAGAGACGGGGUUACUCCGUGUUAGCCAGGAUGGUCUCGAUCUCCUGACCUCGUGAUCCACCUGCCUUGGCCUCCCAAAGUGCUGGGAUUCUGUAAUCCCAGUGAGCCACCGCGCCUGGCCCAUAAUCAACCUCAGCUGCCAACGCCAGAAUCAACCUCAGCUGCCAAAUGCUAGACUGAAAAAAGAAUGUAAACAGCUUGAUGGAGGGGAGGAUCCUGGUGCACCUGUGGUUUUGACAGCUUUUGCUGCUGCUUGAGGAGGAAACAGGUUGCCUGUUUGUUCUUCAAGAGCACUUCUGGCAUCCAGGUAUUAUGCAGGCAUGCACUGCCAGCUGUGAAAGAUGCCGCUUCCUUGUCACUUCAGAGAAUGAUGCUUCUACAGAAGAUCCCUCUUGCUAUUUCAUUCAGGGAGCUCGGGAGAGGAAGACAAAAAGAAUCAAAUGCAAAGCACAGAUCAUUGAAAGGGCCAGGGUCUGAAGUGAGACAACUCGUGUCACAGUGUUUUCAAACUUGAGAAUGAAGAGAAGAAAGGAAAUUUGGUUUGAUGUUAUCAGUUUUGAUUUGCUAACCCAAAAGGUCCAGAAUAAAGAACAAAUCAUUAUAAA